This 731-nucleotide ribosomal RNA is filed under the name Phocaeicola dorei. RNAcentral describes it as "bacterial SSU rRNA". It matches the Rfam family "Bacterial small subunit ribosomal RNA", at positions 22 to 742 of the family's 1533-position model. Lineage: Bacteria; Pseudomonadati; Bacteroidota; Bacteroidia; Bacteroidales; Bacteroidaceae. The record is from RNAcentral.
GCUCAGGAUGAACGCUAGCUACAGGCUUAACACAUGCAAGUCGAGGGGCAGCAUGGUCUUAGCUUGCUAAGGCCGAUGGCGACCGGCGCACGGGUGAGUAACACGUAUCCAACCUGCCGUCUACUCUUGGACAGCCUUCUGAAAGGAAGAUUAAUACAAGAUGGCAUCAUGAGUCCGCAUGUUCACAUGAUUAAAGGUAUUCCGGUAGACGAUGGGGAUGCGUUCCAUUAGAUAGUAGGCGGGGUAACGGCCCACCUAGUCUUCGAUGGAUAGGGGUUCUGAGAGGAAGGUCCCCCACAUUGGAACUGAGACACGGUCCAAACUCCUACGGGAGGCAGCAGUGAGGAAUAUUGGUCAAUGGGCGAGAGCCUGAACCAGCCAAGUAGCGUGAAGGAUGACUGCCCUAUGGGUUGUAAACUUCUUUUAUAAAGGAAUAAAGUCGGGUAUGGAUACCCGUUUGCAUGUACUUUAUGAAUAAGGAUCGGCUAACUCCGUGCCAGCAGCCGCGGUAAUACGGAGGAUCCGAGCGUUAUCCGGAUUUAUUGGGUUUAAAGGGAGCGUAGAUGGAUGUUUAAGUCAGUUGUGAAAGUUUGCGGCUCAACCGUAAAAUUGCAGUUGAUACUGGAUAUCUUGAGUGCAGUUGAGGCAGGCGGAAUUCGUGGUGUAGCGGUGAAAUGCUUAGAUAUCACGAAGAACUCCGAUUGCGAAGGCAGCCUGCUAAGCUGCAACUG